RNAcentral lists this ribosomal RNA (810 nucleotides) under Nannizzia persicolor. Its description in RNAcentral is "LSU rRNA". It matches the Rfam family "Eukaryotic large subunit ribosomal RNA", at positions 85 to 912 of the family's 3401-position model. The record is from RNAcentral. Lineage: Eukaryota; Fungi; Ascomycota; Eurotiomycetes; Onygenales; Arthrodermataceae.
AACGGCGAGUGAAGCGGCAAGAGCUCAAAUUUGAAAUCUGGCCUCCUUCGGGGGUCCGAGUUGUAAUUUGUAGAGGAUGCUUCGGGUGUGGCCGCCGUCUAAGUUCCUUGGAACAGGACGUCAGAGAGGGUGAGAAUCCCGUCUUGGGCGGCCGGUCCGCGCCCGUGUGAAGCUCCUUCGACGAGUCGAGUUGUUUGGGAAUGCAGCUCUAAGCGGGUGGUAAAUUUCAUCUAAAGCUAAAUACUGGUCGGAGACCGAUAGCGCACAAGUAGAGUGAUCGAAAGGUUAAAAGCACCUUGAAAAGGGAGUUAAACAGCACGUGAAAUUGUUGAAAGGGAAGCGCUUGCGGCCAGACUCGGGGGCGGGGUUCAGCGGGCGCUCGUCGCCCGUGUACUCCCCGUCUCCCGGGCCAGCAUCAGUUUCGACGGCCGGUCAAAGGCCCCCGGAAUGUGUCGUCUCUCGGGACGUCUUAUAGCCGGGGGUGCAAUGCGGCCCGUCGGGACUGAGGAACGCGCUCCGGCUCGGAUGCUGGCGUAAUGGCCGUAAGCGGCCCGUCUUGAAACACGGACCAAGGAGUCUAACAUCCACGCGAGUGUUCGGGUGUCAAACCCGUGCGCGCAGUGAAAGCGAACGGAGGUGGGAGCCUUAGGGCGCACCAUCGACCGAUCCUGAAGUCUUCGGAUGGAUUUGAGUAGGAGCGUGGCCGUUGGGACCCGAAAGAUGGUGAACUAUGCCUGAAUAGGGUGAAGCCAGAGGAAACUCUGGUGGAGGCUCGCAGCGGUUCUGACGUGCAAAUCGAUCGUCAAAUUU